This 307-nucleotide small nuclear RNA is filed under the name Neogale vison (American mink). RNAcentral describes it as "Neovison vison (American mink) 7SK RNA (ENSNVIG00000007688.1)". It matches the Rfam family "7SK RNA". From Rfam's summary of the family: 7SK was discovered as an abundant small nuclear RNA in the mid-70s but a possible function has only recently been suggested. Two independent studies have found that 7SK RNA binds the CDK9/cyclin T complex (known as elongation factor P-TEFb). P-TEFb activates transcription by phosphorylating the C-terminal domain of RNA polymerase II. Lineage: Eukaryota; Metazoa; Chordata; Mammalia; Carnivora; Mustelidae. The record is from Rfam by way of RNAcentral.
GGAUGUGAGGGCGAUCUGGCUGCGACAUCUGUCACCCCAUUGAUCGCCAGGGUUGAUUCAGCUGAUCUGGCUGGCUAAGCGGGUGUCCCCUUCCUCCCUCACCGCUCCAUGUGUGUCCCUCCCGAAGCUGCGUGCUGGGUUGAAGAGGAUGACCUCCCCCGUAGAGGAGAGGACCGUUCUUCGGUCAAGGUAGCUGCGCUCCCCUGCUAGAACCUCCAAACAAGCUCUCAAAUUUGAAGAAAGAAUAAAGGCUUUUUCAGAUAUUCAUUGACUCCCAGAAGAAUUUGACUUUCCAUGCACUCUCUCU